UACGUAGGGGGCUAGCGUUGUCCGGAAUCAUUGGGCGUAAAGAGCGUGUAGGCGGUCCGGUAAGUCCGCUGUGAAAGUCGGGGGCUCAACCCUCGAAUGCCGGUGGAUACUGUCGGGCUAGAGUGCGGAAGAGGCGAGUGGAAUUCCCGGUAUAGUGGUGAAAUGCGUAGAUAUCGGGAGGAACACCAGUGGCGAAGGCGACUACCUGGCCUGUUCUUGACGCUGAGGCGCGAAAGCUAGGGGAGCAAACGGG
Molecule: ribosomal RNA, 253 nt
Filed under: uncultured bacterium
Lineage: Bacteria
Description: partial 16S ribosomal RNA
Rfam family: Bacterial small subunit ribosomal RNA
Source: RNAcentral